UACGUAGGGUGCAAGCGUUGUCCGGAAUUAUUGGGCGUAAAGAGCUCGUAGGCGGUCUGUCGCGUCUGCUGUGAAAACUCGGGGCUUAACCCCGGGCCUGCAGUGGGUACGGGCAGACUAGAGUGCGGUAGGGGAGACUGGAAUUCCUGGUGUAGCGGUGAAAUGCGCAGAUAUCAGGAGGAACACCGAUGGCGAAGGCAGGUCUCUGGGCAUUAACUGACGCUGAGGAGCGAAAGCGUGGGUAGCAAACAGG
RNAcentral lists this ribosomal RNA (253 nucleotides) under uncultured bacterium. RNAcentral describes it as "partial 16S ribosomal RNA". It matches the Rfam family "Bacterial small subunit ribosomal RNA", at positions 524 to 776 of the family's 1533-position model. The record is from RNAcentral.